GUGGGAAUCCUUGUCCAUGUGAGCAGACAGCUCCCACAAAUAGAGACAGUUGGCAAUAAGUUUGUUUGCUCCCAGGGACAGAAGAAAGCGUCACAGAUCUUGCUAAAAAAACAGGAGCAGCCAAGUCCAGACAGCAUCAGAGAAGGAGUUCAGGCUCAGAAGAACUGACUUUGUCAACUAUUUAAAGACCUACCUAGGACUACUUUUUUGAGACUGGAAUGGGACUUGUGGACAAAGAGCUUCAUCAUGGAAGGAGAAAGAGCUUGGAG
This is a long non-coding RNA of Chroicocephalus ridibundus (black-headed gull), 269 nucleotides long. RefSeq lists it as uncharacterized. NCBI's taxonomy places the organism in Eukaryota, Metazoa, Chordata, Aves, Charadriiformes, Laridae. The transcript is spliced from 3 exons. The record is from RefSeq and is a predicted model, not a curated record.